UACGAAGGGGGCUAGCGUUGCUCGGAAUUACUGGGCGUAAAGGGCGCGUAGGCGGAUAGUUCAGUCGGGGGUGAAAGCCCGGGGCUCAACCUCGGAACUGCCUUCGAUACUGGCUAUCUUGAGUACGGGAGAGGUGUGUGGAACUCCGAGUGUAGAGGUGAAAUUCGUAGAUAUUCGCAAGAACACCAGUGGCGAAGGCGAGUCCCUGGACAACACCUGACACUGAGGCACGAAAGCUAGGGGAGCAAACAGG
RNAcentral lists this ribosomal RNA (253 nucleotides) under uncultured bacterium. RNAcentral describes it as "partial 16S ribosomal RNA". It matches the Rfam family "Bacterial small subunit ribosomal RNA", at positions 524 to 776 of the family's 1533-position model. The record is from RNAcentral.